GAUGAACGCUGGCGGCGUGCCUAAUACAUGCAAGUCGAGCGAACAGACGAGGAGCUUGCUCCUCUGACGUUAGCGGCGGACGGGUGAGUAACACGUGGAUAACCUACCUAUAAGACUGGGAUAACUUCGGGAAACCGGAGCUAAUACCGGAUAAUAUAUUGAACCGCAUGGUUCAAUAGUGAAAGACGGUUUUGCUGUCACUUAUAGAUGGAUCCGCGCCGCAUUAGCUAGUUGGUAAGGUAACGGCUUACCAAGGCAACGAUGCGUAGCCGACCUGAGAGGGUGAUCGGCCACACUGGAACUGAGACACGGUCCAGACUCCUACGGGAGGCAGCAGUAGGGAAUCUUCCGCAAAGGGCGAAAGCUUGACGGAGCAACGCCGCGUGAGUGAUGAAGGUCUUCGGAUCAUAAAACUCUGUUAUUAGGGAAGAACAAAUGUGUAAGUAACUAUGCACGUCUUGACGGUACCUAAUCAGAAAGCCACGGCUAACUACGUG
Molecule: ribosomal RNA, 497 nt
Filed under: uncultured bacterium
Lineage: Bacteria
Description: partial 16S ribosomal RNA
Rfam family: Bacterial small subunit ribosomal RNA
Source: RNAcentral